GAGUUUGAUCCUGGCUCAGGAUGAACGCUGGCGGCGUGCCUAAUACAUGCAAGUCGAGCGAACUGAUUAGAAGCUUGCUUCUAUGACGUUAGCGGCGGACGGGUGAGUAACACGUGGGCAACCUGCCUGUAAGACUGGGAUAACUUCGGGAAACCGAAGCUAAUACCGGAUAGGAUCUUCUCCUUCAUGGGAGAUGAUUGAAAGAUGGUUUCGGCUAUCACUUACAGAUGGGCCCGCGGUGCAUUAGCUAGUUGGUGAGGUAACGGCUCACCAAGGCAACGAUGCAUAGCCGACCUGAGAGGGUGAUCGGCCACACUGGGACUGCGACACGGCCCAGACUCCUACGGGAGGCAGCAGUGGGGAAUAUUGGGCAAUGGGCGAAAGCCUGACCCAGCCACGCCGCGUGAGUGAUGAAGGCCUUCGGGUCGUAAAGCUCUGUGGGGAGGGACGGAA
RNAcentral lists this ribosomal RNA (453 nucleotides) under uncultured Bacillus sp. RNAcentral describes it as "bacterial SSU rRNA". It matches the Rfam family "Bacterial small subunit ribosomal RNA", at positions 9 to 450 of the family's 1533-position model. Lineage: Bacteria; Bacillati; Bacillota; Bacilli; Caryophanales; Bacillaceae. The record is from RNAcentral.